Molecule: non-coding RNA, 123 nt
Organism: Picea glauca (white spruce)
Lineage: Eukaryota; Viridiplantae; Streptophyta; Pinopsida; Pinales; Pinaceae
Source: Rfam
UAUGUACAUGCCUACAUCAUUAAUGCAUCAGAUCGCGUUAGAACUAUGUAAUUAAGUGCACUUGUGCUAGAGUAGUAUUGGGAUGGUUGGUGACCUCCUGGGAAGUCCUAGUGGUUUACAUGC